GAUCAUGCUCAGGAUGAACGCUGGCGGCGUGCUUAACACAUGCAAGUCGAGCGAAGCACUUAGGAAAGAUUCUUCGGAUGAUUUCCUAUUUGACUGAGCGGCGGACGGGUGAGUAACGCGUGGGUAACCUGCCUCAUACAGGGGGAUAACAGUUAGAAAUGACUGCUAAUACCGCAUAAGACCACAGCACCGCAUGGUGCAGGGGUAAAAACUCCGGUGGUAUGAGAUGGACCCGCG
RNAcentral lists this ribosomal RNA (237 nucleotides) under uncultured bacterium. RNAcentral's name for it is "partial 16S ribosomal RNA". It matches the Rfam family "Bacterial small subunit ribosomal RNA", at positions 15 to 235 of the family's 1533-position model. The record is from RNAcentral.